UUUUUACUUCUAAAAAAUUAUCCUUUAAGUGAAGAGACUUAAAUAAGAUAAAAAGACAAAAAGACCCUAUUGAGCUUUAUUUCAUAAGUUAAACUUCUAUAGCCUAUGCAAAAGAACCUUACCUAUAGAAAUUUUGUUGGGGCGACAAGAGAAGACCUAAAUCUUCUCUAUACUACAAGAAUAUUCCUCUACUAAUGAUCCGUAAUAAACGAUUAACAGAACCAGCUACCAUAGGGAUAACAGGCUAAUCUUCUUUGAGAGCCCAAAUUGACAAGAAGGAUUGGCACCUCGAUGUUGGCUUAGGAUACCUGAUAGAUGCAGAA
Molecule: ribosomal RNA, 323 nt
Filed under: Marenzelleria sp. CFS-1997
Lineage: Eukaryota; Metazoa; Annelida; Polychaeta; Spionida; Spionidae
Description: partial 16S ribosomal RNA
Rfam family: Bacterial large subunit ribosomal RNA
Source: RNAcentral